RNAcentral lists this ribosomal RNA (492 nucleotides) under uncultured bacterium. Its description in RNAcentral is "partial 16S ribosomal RNA". It matches the Rfam family "Bacterial small subunit ribosomal RNA", at positions 29 to 507 of the family's 1533-position model. The record is from RNAcentral.
AGUGAACGCUGGCGGUAGGCCUAACACAUGCAAGUCGAACGGCAGCACAGUAAGAGCUUGCUCUUACGGGUGGCGAGUGGCGGACGGGUGAGGAAUACAUCGGAAUCUACUUUUUCGUGGGGGAUAACGUAGGGAAACUUACGCUAAUACCGCAUACGACCUACGGGUGAAAGCAGGGGAUCGUCGCACCUUGCGCGAUUGAAUGAGCCGAUGUCGGAUUAGCUAGUUGGCGGGGUAAAGGCCCACCAAGGCGACGAUACGUAGCUGGUGUGAGAGGAUGAUCGGCGACACUGGAACGUAGACACGGUCCAGACUCCUACGGGAGGCAGCAGUGGGGAAUAUUGGACAAUGGGCGCAAGCCUGAUCCAGCCAUACCGCGUGGGUGAAGAAGGCCUUCGGGUUGUAAAGCCGUUUUGUUGGGAAAGAAAAGCAGCAGGUUAAUACCCCGCUGUUCUGACGGUAACCAAAGAAUAAGCACCGGCUAACUUCGUG